This 492-nucleotide ribosomal RNA is filed under the name uncultured bacterium. RNAcentral's name for it is "partial 16S ribosomal RNA". It matches the Rfam family "Bacterial small subunit ribosomal RNA", at positions 29 to 507 of the family's 1533-position model. The record is from RNAcentral.
AUUGAACGCUGGCGGCAUGCUUUACACAUGCAAGUCGAACGGUAACAGGCCUUCGGGUGCUGACGAGUGGCGAACGGGUGCGUAAUGCAUCGGAACGUACCCAGAGGUGGGGGAUAACGCAGCGAAAGCUGUGCUAAUACCGCAUGUGAUCUGAGGAUGAAAGCGGGGGACCGAGCAGCAAUGUUUGGCCUCGCGCCUUUGGAGCGGCCGAUGUCGGAUUAGCUAGUUGGUGGGGUAAAGGCCUACCAAGGCGACGAUCCGUAGCUGGUCUGAGAGGACGACCAGCCACACUGGGACUGAGACACGGCCCAGACUCCUACGGGAGGCAGCAGUGGGGAAUUUUGGACAAUGGGCGCAAGCCUGAUCCAGCAAUGCCGCGUGCGGGAAGAAGGCCUCCGGGUUGUAAACCGCUUUUGGCAGGAACGAAACGGUGUCCGCUAAUACCGGGCGCUAAUGACGGUACCUGCAGAAUAAGCACCGGCUAACUACGUG